AACUGCGACCCCAGUCAGGCCG
This 22-nucleotide ribosomal RNA is filed under the name Erica woodii. Its description in RNAcentral is "partial 28S ribosomal RNA". The record is from RNAcentral. Lineage: Eukaryota; Viridiplantae; Streptophyta; Magnoliopsida; Ericales; Ericaceae.